AUAGCAAGCCGGUCUAUCGCUGCAAUCAAGUAUUGGAGAGGAAAGUCUGGGCAAUGCAGAGCACUGUACUUCUGAAUAGGAAGAAGCUCGUAAGGGUUUAGUAACGUAGCAGAGAAUAACCGCCUUCGGGUAAGGGUGAAAAGGUGAGGUAAGAGCUCACCAAUGGGGUAGGUAACUAUGCCAGUUGUACGUCUUACAGAUUGCAAGACCAUGUAUAUCAUAACUCCGUAAGGAGCAGAGCUGCUCGUUCUGUUUUGAAAAAAGUUGUGAGGGGUAGGUCGCUCAAAGUAGCAGGUGACUGCUAUUUUAGAUAAAUGAUAGACGCUCCUUGUGAGUAACAGGACCCGGCUUACAGGCUUGCUAUUUUU
RNAcentral lists this RNase P RNA (368 nucleotides) under Carboxylicivirga sp. M1479. Its description in RNAcentral is "Bacterial RNase P class A". It matches the Rfam family "Bacterial RNase P class A". From Rfam's summary of the family: Ribonuclease P (RNase P) is a ubiquitous endoribonuclease, found in archaea, bacteria and eukarya as well as chloroplasts and mitochondria. Its best characterised activity is the generation of mature 5'-ends of tRNAs by cleaving the 5'-leader elements of precursor-tRNAs. Lineage: Bacteria; Pseudomonadati; Bacteroidota; Bacteroidia; Marinilabiliales; Marinilabiliaceae. The record is from Rfam by way of RNAcentral.